Molecule: long non-coding RNA, 761 nt
Organism: Nematostella vectensis (starlet sea anemone)
Lineage: Eukaryota; Metazoa; Cnidaria; Anthozoa; Actiniaria; Edwardsiidae
Exons: 2
Source: RefSeq, a predicted model, not a curated record
ACAAACAACACCAUAGUAACACAAACAAAUACAGUAUGCGCGUCUGAAUUUUAGCAAAACCAGUUUUUAAAGCGAAAAGAAAAGCUACAGACUUUAAAACUGCGUGCAUUUCUUGCAAGUUUCGAUGCUUCGAUAGUCUUUCUGCUAACACGUGCUUUAUCACCGGUAAGAUGCUCAUGCCUUGAAACUUUGUUAUACCAAGUUACUUCCGGUUUGCCAGACUGCCAUAUAUGGCGAAGGCGUGCGUGCGUCAGCCAAUCACAGAGCCCCCCCCACGCGAAAUGCUAAGAAUGCGCGCGAUAGCGAACAGCGAGUCCCGUGGGACGGUAUUAAGUGGUACUUAUAGCAGGAGCUCUGGCAACGUUCAUAAAUAGCAACCUUCAGUCGCGAAAGCACCAACAUCACCCUAGACUCAACUCAGCGGCACCCACCAAUUAAUAUAACAGAAAUGGGAAAAGCACAGACUGUACUUCUAUUAGCAGCAGCACUAUUCAUUUGCAUGGCGUGCCUGGCCGACAGCAAGCCUGUUAUGUCCCUCGGACAAUGCAGGACAGAUUGCUUUACUCAGUACAGAAUUUGUAAGAAUUCCCUUGCUUGCAAUGGUUAUAUUGGAUGCCAAGUUUGCGAUAAACCGUACCAACGCUGUGCCGACAAAUGCAAGGCGAUGCUACACAAGAAAGCGCUCAAAUUGAUGUACAAGUUGUUCGACAUAGAAAAGCAGUUGCAAUGAGAAUCCGCGCACAGGCGAUGACUAAGGAGAC